ACGAUUGUGUUGGAGUUUGUAAG
This 23-nucleotide non-coding RNA is filed under the name Cricetulus griseus (Chinese hamster). Lineage: Eukaryota; Metazoa; Chordata; Mammalia; Rodentia; Cricetidae. The record is from RNAcentral.